Long non-coding RNA from Coregonus clupeaformis (lake whitefish), 225 nucleotides. RefSeq lists it as uncharacterized. NCBI's taxonomy places the organism in Eukaryota, Metazoa, Chordata, Actinopteri, Salmoniformes, Salmonidae. The record is from RefSeq and is a predicted model, not a curated record. The transcript is spliced from 3 exons.
GACAGAGAGAGAGAGAGAGAGAGAGACCCAGUGAAGACCUUUGAAGAUAUCUGAAGAAGUUAAAAUACAACUGAAGAUUUGUGAAGAAGACUAUCACCAUGGCGAUAUUGACCAUCAUUCUGCUUGUCAGCAUGGCUUUGGCUCUGGGAGAUGCCUUUAUUCCGAUAGGUGGUAUGCGACCCAAGACCCGCUGUGAGCAUUUAAGAGAUUCCAAGAAAAACAGCC